This is a non-coding RNA of Schistosoma rodhaini, 46 nucleotides long. The record is from Rfam. Lineage: Eukaryota; Metazoa; Platyhelminthes; Trematoda; Strigeidida; Schistosomatidae.
GCACUACUGAAGAGUUCCACAAUAGGAUGAAACGGCCGUUCAGUGC